RNAcentral lists this ribosomal RNA (253 nucleotides) under uncultured bacterium. RNAcentral describes it as "partial 16S ribosomal RNA". It matches the Rfam family "Bacterial small subunit ribosomal RNA", at positions 524 to 776 of the family's 1533-position model. The record is from RNAcentral.
UACGUAGGGGGCUAGCGUUGUCCGGAAUCAUUGGGCGUAAAGCGCGUGUAGGCGGUCCGGUAAGUCCGCUGUGAAAGUCGGGGGCUCAACCCUCGGAUGCCGGUGGAUACUGUCGGGCUUGAGUACGGAAGAGGCGAGUGGAAUUCCUGGUGUAGCGGCGAAAUGCGCAGAUAUCAGGAGGAACACCAAUUGCGAAGGCAGCUCGCUGGGACGUUACUGACGCUGAGACGCGAAAGCGUGGGGAGCAAACAGG